Clupea harengus (Atlantic herring) is the source of this 325-nucleotide long non-coding RNA. NCBI's taxonomy places the organism in Eukaryota, Metazoa, Chordata, Actinopteri, Clupeiformes, Clupeidae. The record is from Ensembl.
AAAGCAGGUGAAGAAUAUUCAUGUGAUGUGGCAGGACCACUUGAUACUUCUGCAAGAGGGCAUAAGUAUUUUUUGGUAUGUGUGGACAAUGCAGGUGGUGAUACCAAAGUGUAUCCCAUCAAAAUGGCAACAGGGAGGAUAAUUACGGAAAGGUUGGCAAAUUUUUUCACUGGUCGGCCAGGAAGUUUGGGUUAAUAGGGGCCGCAAAAUACAGGGGGAAGGAAUCAGACAUCCGAACGAAGGAAAAAGACGGAGGGCGGCAGGUGGACAUUGGGGAGCCAGGAGAGGAGACCAUCCGGGUCUCUUUGUUUUUUGCGAGCUACAG